GGAAAGGUGGCAGAGAGGUUGAAUGCAUCAGUUUUGAAAACUGUCGUAGUUUUGCUACCGGGGGUUCGAAUCCCCCCCUUUCCU
Molecule: transfer RNA, 84 nt
Filed under: Tydemania expeditionis
Lineage: Eukaryota; Viridiplantae; Chlorophyta; Ulvophyceae; Bryopsidales; Halimedaceae
Description: tRNA-Ser
Rfam family: tRNA
About the family: Transfer RNA (tRNA) molecules are approximately 80 nucleotides in length.
Source: RNAcentral